GCCCUGGGUUCAAAUUUGGCUUCAGACACUUCCCAGCUGCGUGAUCCUGGUCAAGUCACUUGACCCCCAUUGCUUAGCACUUACCACUCUUCUGCCUUAGAACCAAUACACAAUAUUGUUUCUAAGAUAGAAGGUAAGGGUUUGAAAAAAAUUAAAGGAAAAGCAAUUAAAAUAAAUAUAAAGCCAGUAAUAAAAUGAAAUGUGCCAAGGUUAUACUGUUGAAAAAGUAAUUGUGCUAUUUCUAAAUCCCUUCUUGUGUGUUCUGGAUCUUCAAGCUGAAAGCUUUGUUUUCUUUUUUUUUUUUUGUUAAUAGAUUUAAGAAACAGCUAACUGCUGAAGUUUAUAGAAUAUUAAACUUGCAAUCUGAAAAGUCUGAUUUAAAAUCCUUCCUCAGGUUCGGGAAGAUGACAAACAGACAUGAAAUGAUAGAUCUAUUCUCACUGAAGAUAAUAGUGGAACUCAGCCAACUCCUUUAUCUGCCUCUGACAAGAACUCAUUUGCCAUUCUUCCAUUUAGAUGCAAUUGCUUCUGGUUUCAUUUAUGGGCAUGCUGAGCCGCCUCCACCUCACAGAAAAUGGGCCCUCAACUAGAGAAUAUAAGUAGAUUUCUUCAGAAGUUUAAAGUCAAAAGAUAAACAUAAGGGACAGCCCCAAUUCCAAAGAAAUAGUACUUGACCUCUAACAGAGAGGAGAUAAACUCAAGAUGAAGGAUGAGGCAUAAUUUUAGAACUGGCCAAUAAGAAGUUACCUUGAUUCUUUUGUAGACUUAAUACAAUUUUUUCCUUCUUUUCUUUCAGUAGAGUGGGGGCAGGGUAAGAUAGGAGAGAGGGAAAAAGUUAAUUAACAAGAAAAGUAAAAUAAGGAAGCUUAAGAAAAUUUCAUACAUAGAGACACACCAGAUUCAGAAAUCUCCAGUAACAAAUUUAUUAAAUCUACCAAGAGAAAAGAACUGCAACUCCUUCCAGACCUGGAUUCAGCAUUGAAUACCGCUAUCGACAUAGAUUGAUUUUUGCAGGCCCAACCAUGUCUUUCGUGUCAUUCAUAUACUAUGAAUCAGCCCAAGCUGAAUAACUAUCAUUCAUAAAACAAUCAUCUAUACGUGCAUCCAUAACUACUUCAGGAAAAUCACUUAGGAGAAUAUGAUGUUUAGAUUUCUAGGAGAAAGUUCCAUUUAUUCCCUUUUCUUCUGAUUCCUCAGGUGAUUUUUAGGGACCCAGAUUAAAGAAGAGGGUGUCAACGUGGAUUUUUUGGAUGUCUCAGUUUACCCUUACCUUUGAGAAAACCCCAGUGCCAAGUACCCCUAUUUUGGUUUGAAUGUUAAGUACCUUUUUGUUUUGGAGGCUUCUCUAUUGGAUAAAAGUUUUCCUCUCAUGAAGCCCAGAUUCUUAGUUUGACCUUUGAUUUGUUAUAGCGAAUGCUUCUUUUUUCUUUUUUUCAUAUGAAUUUUCUUUUAUUGAUUAAGAAAAUAUUUCCAUGGUUACAUGAUUCAUGUUCUCUCCCUCCCCUACUCACACACCCCUCCCAUAGGCAACUCACAACUCCACUGGGUUUUACAUGUCAUUGAUCAAGACCUAUUACCUAUUUCCAUAUU
Long non-coding RNA from Monodelphis domestica (gray short-tailed opossum), 1590 nucleotides. Lineage: Eukaryota; Metazoa; Chordata; Mammalia; Didelphimorphia; Didelphidae. The record is from Ensembl.